This 691-nucleotide ribosomal RNA is filed under the name uncultured bacterium. RNAcentral describes it as "bacterial SSU rRNA". It matches the Rfam family "Bacterial small subunit ribosomal RNA", at positions 733 to 1424 of the family's 1533-position model. The record is from RNAcentral.
UCUGUCACUGACGCUGAGGCUCGAAAGCGUGGGUAGCGAACAGGAUUAGAUACCCUGGUAGUCCACGCCGUAAACGAUGAGUGCUAGGUGUCAGGCCCUUUCCGGGGCUUAGUGCCGGAGCUAACGCAAUAAGCACUCCGCCUGGGGAGUACGACCGCAAGGUUGAAACUCAAAGGAACUGACGGGGGCCCGCACAAGCGGUGGAGCAUGUGGUUUAAUUNGAAGCAACGCGAAGAACCUUACCAGGUCUUGACAUCCCGAUGCUAUUCUUAGAGAUAGGAAGUUACUUCGGUACAUCGGAGACAGGUGGUGCAUGGUUGUCGUCAGCUCGUGUCGUGAGAUGUUGGGUUAAGUCCCGCAACGAGCGCAACCCUUAUUGUUAGUUGCCAUCAUUAAGUUGGGCACUCUAGCGAGACUGCCGGUAAUAAACCGGAGGAAGGUGGGGAUGACGUCAAAUCAUCAUGCCCCUUAUGACCUGGGCUACACACGUGCUACAAUGGUCGGUACAACGAGUUGCGAGCCGGUGACGGCAAGCUAAUCUCUGAAAGCCGAUCUCAGUUCGGAUUGGAGGCUGCAACUCGCCUCCAUGAAGUCGGAAUCGCUAGUAAUCGCGGAUCAGCACGCCGCGGUGAAUACGUUCCCGGGCCUUGUACACACCGCCCGUCACACCACGAGUGUUUGUAACNCCCGA